GGCAACGUGGCCGAGCGGUCUAAGGCGAUUGACUCGAAUACUAUUCACUUGAAAUCAAUUCUCUUCGGAGGCGCAUGUUCAAAUCAUGCCGUUGUCG
Molecule: transfer RNA, 97 nt
Filed under: Lasiosphaeris hirsuta
Lineage: Eukaryota; Fungi; Ascomycota; Sordariomycetes; Sordariales; Lasiosphaeriaceae
Rfam family: tRNA
About the family: Transfer RNA (tRNA) molecules are approximately 80 nucleotides in length. Their secondary structure includes four short double-helical elements and three loops (D, anti-codon, and T loops). Further hydrogen bonds mediate the characteristic L-shaped molecular structure. tRNAs have two regions of fundamental functional importance: the anti-codon, which is responsible for specific mRNA codon recognition, and the 3' end, to which the tRNAs corresponding amino acid is attached (by aminoacyl-tRNA synthetases). tRNAs cope with the degeneracy of the genetic code in two manners: having more than one tRNA (with a specific anti-codon) for a particular amino acid; and 'wobble' base-pairing, i.e. permitting non-standard base-pairing at the 3rd anti-codon position.
Source: Rfam by way of RNAcentral